ACACAUGCAAGUCGAGCGGAAGGCCACUUCGGUGGUACUCGAGCGGCGAACGGGUGAGNUANCNCGUGAGUAAUCUGCCCCCCACUUUGGGAUAGCCACCGGAAACGGUGAUUAAUACCGGAUAUGACCCUUGACUGCAUGGUUGUGGGUGGAAAGUUUUUCGGUGGGGGAUGUGCUCGCGGCCUAUCAGCUUGAUGGUGGGGUAAUGGCCUACCAUGGCUUCGACGGGUAGCCGGCCUGAGAGGGUGACCGGCCACACUGGGACUGAGACACGGCCCAGACUCCUACGGGAGGCAGCAGUGGGGAAUAUUGGACAAUGGGCGGAAGCCUGAUCCAGCAACGCCGCGUGAGGGAUGACGGCCUUCGGGUUGUAAACCUCUUUCAGUACCGACGAAGCGAAAGUGACGGUAGGUACAGAAGAAGCACCGGCCAACUACGUGCCAGCAGCCGCGGUAAUACGUAGGGUGCGAGCGUUGUCCGGAAUUAUUGGGCGUAAAGGGCUCGUAGGCGGUUUGUCGCGUCGGGAGUGAAAACACUGGGCUUAACUCAGUGCUUGCUUCCGAUACGGGCAGACUAGAGGUAUGCAGGGGAGAACGGAAUUCCUGGUGUAGCGGUGAAAUGCGCAGAUAUCAGGAGGAACACCGGUGGCGAAGGCGGUUCUCUGGGCAUUACCUGACGCUGAGGAGCGAAAGUGUGGGGAGCGAACAGGAUUAGAUACCCUGGUAGUCCACACCGUAAACGUUGGGCGCUAGGUGUGGGGUCCAUUCCACGGAUUCCGUGCCGCA
This 785-nucleotide ribosomal RNA is filed under the name bacterium 199_oclvp489. Its description in RNAcentral is "bacterial SSU rRNA". It matches the Rfam family "Bacterial small subunit ribosomal RNA", at positions 51 to 850 of the family's 1533-position model. RNAcentral also lists the same sequence under 1 other name. The record is from RNAcentral.